This 876-nucleotide ribosomal RNA is filed under the name Fusarium flocciferum. RNAcentral describes it as "partial large subunit ribosomal RNA". It matches the Rfam family "Eukaryotic large subunit ribosomal RNA", at positions 32 to 938 of the family's 3401-position model. Lineage: Eukaryota; Fungi; Ascomycota; Sordariomycetes; Hypocreales; Nectriaceae. The record is from RNAcentral.
ACUUAAGCAUAUCAAUAAGCGGAGGAAAAGAAACCAACAGGGAUUGCCCUAGUAACGGCGAGUGAAGCGGCAACAGCUCAAAUUUGAAAUCUGGCUUUCGGGCCCGAGUUGUAAUUUGUAGAGGAUACUUUUGAUGCGGUGCCUUCCGAGUUCCCUGGAACGGGACGCCAUAGAGGGUGAGAGCCCCGUCUGGUUGGAUGCCAAAUCUCUGUAAAGUUCCUUCGACGAGUCGAGUAGUUUGGGAAUGCUGCUCUAAAUGGGAGGUAUAUGUCUUCUAAAGCUAAAUAUUGGCCAGAGACCGAUAGCGCACAAGUAGAGUGAUCGAAAGAUGAAAAGCACUUUGAAAAGAGAGUUAAAAAGUACGUGAAAUUGUUGAAAGGGAAGCGUUUAUGACCAGACUUGGACUUGGUUAAUCAUCUGGGGUUCUCCCCAGUGCACUUUUCCAGUUCAGGCCAGCAUCAGUUUUCGCCGGGGGAUAAAGGCAGCGGGAAUGUGGCUCUCUUCGGGGAGUGUUAUAGCCCGUUGUGUAAUACCCUGGUGGGGACUGAGGUUCGCGCUUCUGCAAGGAUGCUGGCGUAAUGGUCAUCAACGACCCGUCUUGAAACACGGACCAAGGAGUCGUCUUCGUAUGCGAGUGUUCGGGUGUCAAACCCCUACGCGUAAUGAAAGUGAACGCAGGUGAGAGCUUCGGCGCAUCAUCGACCGAUCCUGAUGUUCUCGGAUGGAUUUGAGUAAGAGCAUACGGGGCCGGACCCGAAAGAAGGUGAACUAUGCCUGUAUAGGGUGAAGCCAGAGGAAACUCUGGUGGAGGCUCGCAGCGGUUCUGACGUGCAAAUCGAUCGUCAAAUAUGGGCAUGGGGGCGAAAGACUAAUCGA